AAUCAACGCUGGCGGCGUGCCUCAGACAUGCAAGUCGAACGAUUAAAGCUCUCUUCGGAGAGUGCAUAGAGUGGCGCACGGGUGAGUAACACGUAAGUAAUCUACCUUCGAGUGGGGAAUAACGUCCGGAACGGACGCUAAUACCGCAUAAUGCAGCGGCAUCGCAAGAUGACAGUUGUUAAAGGAGCAAUUCGCUUGAAGAGGAGCUUGCGGCAGAUUAGCUAGUUGGUAAGGUAAUGGCUUACCAAGGCUACGAUCUGUAACCGGUCUAAGAGGACGGUCGGUCACACUGACACUGAAUAACGGGUCAGACUCCUACGGGAGGCAGCAGUCGGGAAUUUUGGGCAAUGGGCGAAAGCCUGACCCAGCAACGCCGCGUGAAGGAUGAAGUAUUUCGGUAUGUAAACUUCGAAGGAA
RNAcentral lists this ribosomal RNA (417 nucleotides) under uncultured bacterium. Its description in RNAcentral is "bacterial SSU rRNA". It matches the Rfam family "Bacterial small subunit ribosomal RNA", at positions 32 to 440 of the family's 1533-position model. The record is from RNAcentral.